Molecule: transfer RNA, 74 nt
Filed under: Gemmatimonadetes bacterium SCN 70-22
Lineage: Bacteria; Pseudomonadati; Gemmatimonadota
Also listed under: 10 other names
Description: tRNA-Pro
Rfam family: tRNA
About the family: Transfer RNA (tRNA) molecules are approximately 80 nucleotides in length. Their secondary structure includes four short double-helical elements and three loops (D, anti-codon, and T loops).
Source: RNAcentral
CGGGGCGUAGCGUAGCCCGGUAGCGCGCCUGCUUCGGGAGCAGGAGGUCGCUGGUUCAAAUCCAGUCGCCCCGA